AGGGCAGGGCAGAGACCCAUUGUCCAGAUGGAGAGAGCAAGUCCCAGUGACUCACCUAAAGUCAUACAGCCUGGGGUGGGGGAGAGGGGGGGUAUGGAGCCCAGGGAAGAGCCCCAGGAGCCCAGAGCACACCCCAAGACUCCCACAGCUUCCCUCCCCCAGCUCGCUGAUAGCUGUGUCUGGUGAUGCUGGCCAAAAGGGAAGACAUUGGCUGUUACUGUAGUGAGGCCCUUGCACUCCUUCAAGCAGGAAACAGAAGUCAGAGGGGGAAGAGAGGCAUUUCCCUGAGGCCUUAGGGACCCCUCUGCACUCCAGCCUAGGUCCUGAUCCUCAGAGGGGGCUGGGCCAGGGCAACACAGCAGUCUGGACCCCCAGAUACCUGAUUCUGAGUUUGACUCAGCCAGCCCUCCCCUACCUGGAAUCCUGACUUCUGACCCUCACGGGUCCUUCCCGGGUCAUUGCCUCCAUAGCUGUACACACCCUCCCCACACCUUGGGGUUGCCUUAAACAAUCGUAUUCUGGCAGAAGUCAAAUAUAUCAGGCAUCUGUCAGACUCCAGCUGGAUUAUCCAAUGGGCAGACCACUGAGCUGUGAACCCAGCAAAACCAAUCUGGCCACUGCCCAAAGCGGGCACUCCCCACAAAACUGCCUCUGGACCCUUAGUCCACAGGAGGCUUUUGUUGAAAACAGAGGCUAAACCUGGUGGAAGGUUCCUUUUCCUUCACCCGACCCCCAGCCACCUCCACCAGCAAGCCUAGGCACCUCCGCAGGGGAAAAUAAGCUGGGAGGGAGGAGAGAUUCUGAGCAGGCUCCCAAUAUCAGAGCUAGAGGGGAAGCAGGAAACUCCUUGGCAAUCCUUCAAUACACAGGGAAAUGAAGGCUGCAGGGUAAGGAAAGGAGAGUAGCAUCUGAAGUUCUGGGUUCUAGCAUUAGCUUAGCUACUGUGUGACCCUGAACAAAUGCCUUCUGCACCCAUGCUCUGGGGUCUCCCCACCACCUUGCUGUGCCAGGGUUCUAGUUAAAGCAUGUAAGGAGCUCAGGCCUGACCGCUGCAGUCAGUCGCCUGUGGAGUCCUCUCCUGACCACCCCUCCAGCUCCUACCCCCACCCCAGGUCCUGGGGACUUAGGGCAGGUGGGGUGGGGGGAGGGAGGAUGUGGUGUCACCCCAGGGAGGGGCAGCAGGGAAGGGAAACUGAGUGUGUCCCUAGCUUGCCCCAGCCUGUCCCCUGCAUCCGGGGAAGGGUAAGAGUGACUGUCAGCUGGGGAAGGGGGGCAAGAGGGGCAGGCUGGGAGGGGCAGGGAACCCCCGUCUGGACUUGCCGGGACAGCCGGGUGCAGCUGUUUCCGGCUGAUGAAAGGGCCCUGAUUGAUAUGGCAGCAGUGACUGACGCUAACCCCCAAAUCUGAGCCCUUCCCAUCCUCCCCAACCUGGGCACGCCCAGGGGCCCCCUUUAAGCCAGGGAGAAAAGAAGAAUGGGGCUCCUGCUGCCACUGGGUACCAUCCUCCAAAGGCAGGGAGGGGGGGCUUGUCUCAUCUUCCCUGCCCUAGCCCAGCAGGGGCAGGGAGGCUGGGGCUGGGCCAGGGUCUGGGAAGACAGGGCUAGGGAAGAGGGGCAAAGGGCUUGCUCCCUCCUCUCCCCACCCUGCAGUGCAUCCACACACGUUUGAACAUUCACAUGCAUAUCCGUCUAGCCUCUGGGGAUGGCUGAGAGGAGAACAAAGCUUGUUACUGAGCAUUCGUUUUACAAUCUAGCCAUCUGUGUUUUGCUAAACAAUAGCUAACGUAUAUUGAACCGGUCGUGCGUGCAUAGUAUCCUGCUAAGACCUUUAGGUACACAGCCUUAUGAGGUAGUGCUCACCUCACCCCCAUUUUAUAGAUGAAGAUGUAGAGGCCCAGAGUGGUUAAGGAAUUUGCCAGUGGUCACACAGCAGUCAGAGGCAGAGUGAAGAUGUGAACUCAGUCUCCAGGGCCUGAGGCCCUAACCACUGUGCUAUACUGCCUUCAGAGGCAACUUGUAACCAGCUUAUAAACAAAUAAUGACCUUAUAAUUGGGAUUUCUUUUUUUAGAAUUUUUUUAAGUUUAGUUUGAGAGAGAGCAAGAGGGGGAGGGGCAGAGAGAGGCAGGGACAGAGGAUCUGAAGUGGGCUCCGUGCCGACAGCAGAGAACCUGAUGCGGGGCUUGAACCCCACAUGGAGAGAUCAUGACCUGAGCUGAAGUCAGAUGCUUAACUGACUGAGCCACCCAGGCACCCCUGGGAAAGGUUUUAAAUAGAGAUGUACAAGGUACAAUGAGUCCUCAGAGGAGAGGCACUGUGGAUGGGGAUGGGGGGAAAGGGAGAGGAGAGGUUUCUAGGACAGUAAACAUUUGAAAUGGAAUUGAAGGGUUUUCCCUAGUUUAGUUAUUUUUUUAACUUUUUUUAUAGUAAAAUAUACAAAACAUAAAAUUUAGCAUUUUAAGCAUAUAAUUCAGUGGCGGUUUUUAAUUUUGAUGGAGUCCAAUUAAUCUUUUUUCUUUUGUUGCCUGUGUUUUGGGCAUCAUACUAAAGAAAUCAUUGCCAAAUCCAAGGUCUUAAAUUUUUUCCCUAGGUUUUCUUCUAAGAGUUUCAAAGUUUUAGCUCUUAAAUUUGGGUGACUAAUCCAUUUUGAGGUAAUUUUUAAUGUUUAUUUACUUUUGAGAGACACAGACAGAGUGUGGGGGGGGGGGGAGGGGCGGAGAGAGAGGGACACAGAAUCCAAAGAAGACUCCAGGCUCUGAGCAGUCAGCACAGAGCCCAAAGUAGGACUUGAACUCAAGAUCCAUGAGAUCAUGACCUAAGCCGCAGUCGGAGGUUUAACCAACUGAGCCAGCCAGGAAUCCUUUGAGAAGCAACAAAAAGCAGGCAUCUUCAUUUUGUUUUGGAUUGCAGGGGAAAAGCUUUCUGUCUUUCACCAUUGAACGACAUUAGGACUCCUCUGAGCCUCCAACACGCUAAUCUGGGCCACGACCCUCUGAGGGGAGGAAUGAGACAAGGAAACUCGUUUGGUCUCAGAGCUCUUUAUAGAGAAGCAUCUCAAGAGACACUUGCAAGCAAACAUUCACUGAACACUUACUAUCUUCUAAGAACGCGGCUAAACCCUUGAGAUUUAUUUUUGGGCAACACCGAGGACCUCAGUAAAAGGGGCUUCGAUGAAGAUGCCUCCCCCCGCCCGACCAUCUCCAGGGGGAGCCGUGUGAUUCAGCCCUGGCCACUCAAGCACCAAAAUAUCUUGGCUUCAGUGAUUGGCUCAAGAAGGACAGACGACCCAAACGAGGCCAACAGGGCUAAUCCCCGGAGUUCGCUGGAGUCACCAGUUUUCUGCUCUGGAAUUGCUAGUGGGUGCGUGUCUGGCAAGAGCUGCCAGGAGUCCUGUCUAAGGAGGUGAUGCCUGAGGAGGGAGCUGACACAGGAGAGCAGACCUGAUGACAUUGUUCGAACUGUGCCAAAGACAGGUCCACCCCUGGACUUUUCAGUGAUCAUGAGCCAAUAAAUUACUUUUGUGUUGUUCUUGUCUUAAGCAAGUAUGAGUUGGGUUCCUUCCUUUGAAACGGAGAUCUAGCA
Molecule: long non-coding RNA, 3579 nt
Organism: Acinonyx jubatus (cheetah)
Lineage: Eukaryota; Metazoa; Chordata; Mammalia; Carnivora; Felidae
Exons: 5
Source: RefSeq, a predicted model, not a curated record